This 241-nucleotide long non-coding RNA is filed under the name Panax ginseng (ginseng). RNAcentral's name for it is "long non-coding RNA (PGIN_LNC011421)". Lineage: Eukaryota; Viridiplantae; Streptophyta; Magnoliopsida; Apiales; Araliaceae. The record is from RNAcentral.
CGAAAUAUAAAUUGAUAUGCGCCGUCCGCUAGUAUUACUAGCGGACAAAGUAAUAACAAAUUUUGGACAAUUAUGCCCCUAACUUAGCUAAGAAAAAUUGAAUAAUACACAAAAUCUCCCAUAUCCAUUGGACAAAGGUACUACGCUAUAGCAAAUCUACAAAAUCGACAACAAAGGUACUACACUACAGUGCCAUUCUGCGAUUUGGGCGAACUGCUAGAACCCUACAAGUAAAAUACAG